This 630-nucleotide ribosomal RNA is filed under the name Pseudomonas sp. Its description in RNAcentral is "bacterial SSU rRNA". It matches the Rfam family "Bacterial small subunit ribosomal RNA", at positions 53 to 679 of the family's 1533-position model. The record is from RNAcentral. Lineage: Bacteria; Pseudomonadati; Pseudomonadota; Gammaproteobacteria; Pseudomonadales; Pseudomonadaceae.
ACCAUGCAGUCGAGCGGAUGAGGGAGCUUGCUCCCGGAUUCAGCGGCGGACGGGUGAGUAAUGCCUAGGAAUCUGCCUGGUAGUGGGGGAUAACGUCCGGAAACGGGCGCUAAUACCGCAUACGUCCUGAGGGAGAAAGUGGGGGAUCUUCGGACCUCACGCUAUCAGAUGAGCCUAGGUCGGAUUAGCUAGUUGGUGGGGUAAAGGCCUACCAAGGCGACGAUCCGUAACUGGUCUGAGAGGAUGAUCAGUCACACUGGAACUGAGACACGGUCCAGACUCCUACGGGAGGCAGCAGUGGGGAAUAUUGGACAAUGGGCGAAAGCCUGAUCCAGCCAUGCCGCGUGUGUGAAGAAGGUCUUCGGAUUGUAAAGCACUUUAAGUUGGGAGGAAGGGCAGUAAGUUAAUACCUUGCUGUUUUGACGUUACCAACAGAAUAAGCACCGGCUAACUUCGUGCCAGCAGCCGCGGUAAUACGAAGGGUGCAAGCGUUAAUCGGAAUUACUGGGCGUAAAGCGCGCGUAGGUGGUUCAGCAAGUUGGAUGUGAAAUCCCCGGGCUCAACCUGGGAACUGCAUCCAAAACUACUGAGCUAGAGUACGGUAGAGGGUGGUGGAAUUUCCUGUGUAGC